AACGCACAUUGCGCCCGCCAGUAUUCUGGCGGGCAUGCCUGUUCGAGCGUCAUUUCAACCAUCAAGCCCUGUGCUUGUGUUGGGGGCCUGCGGCUGCCGCAGCCCCCUAAAAGCAGUGGCGGGCUCGCUGUCAUUCCGAGCGCAGUAACUUAUCUCGCUUUGGUCGUGGCGGUGGGCACCUGCCGUAAAACACUCUUUUUCACAAGGUUGACCUCGGAUCAGGUAGGAAUACCCGCUGAACUUAA
This 245-nucleotide unclassified non-coding RNA is filed under the name uncultured fungus. RNAcentral describes it as "partial contains 5.8S ribosomal RNA, internal transcribed spacer 2, and large subunit ribosomal RNA". The stretch from base 1 to 52 matches the Rfam family "5.8S ribosomal RNA", at positions 103 to 154 of the family's 154-position model. The record is from RNAcentral. Lineage: Eukaryota; Fungi.